Molecule: ribosomal RNA, 306 nt
Filed under: uncultured bacterium
Lineage: Bacteria
Description: partial 16S ribosomal RNA
Rfam family: Bacterial small subunit ribosomal RNA
Source: RNAcentral
GACAGCAGCAGCCGCGGUAAUACGUAGGUCCCGAGCGUUGUCCGGAUUUAUUGGGUGUAAAGGGAGCGCAGGCGGUCAGGAAAGUCUGGAGUAAAAGGCUAUGGCUCAACCAUAGUGUGCUCUGGAAACUGUCUGACUUGAGUGCAGAAGGGGAGAGUGGAAUUCCAUGUGUAGCGGUGAAAUGCGUAGAUAUGUGGAGGAACACCAGUGGCGAAAGCGGCUCUCUGGUCUGUCACUGACGCUGAGGCUCGAAAGCGUGGGUAGCGAACAGGAUUAGAUACCCCCGUAGUCCCUGUCUCUUAUACA